AGAGCGAACGCUGGCGGCAGGCUUAACACAUGCAAGUCGAGCGGAUGUAGCAAUACAUCAGCGGCAGACGGGUGAGUAACACGUGGGAACGUACCUUUUGGUUCGGAACAACACAGGGAAACUUGUGCUAAUACCGGAUAAGCCCUUACGGGGAAAGAUUUAUCGCCGAAAGAUCGGCCCGCGUCUGAUUAGCUAGUUGGUGAGGUAAUGGCUCACCAAGGCGACGAUCAGUAGCUGGUCUGAGAGGAUGAUCAGCCACAUUGGGACUGAGACACGGCCCAAACUCCUACGGGAGGCAGCAGUGGGGAAUAUUGGACAAUGGGCGCAAGCCUGAUCCAGCCAUGCCGCGUGAGUGAUGAAGGCCCUAGGGUUGUAAAGUCCUUUUAACGGGGAAGAUAAUGACGGUACCCGUAGAAUAAGCCCGGCUAACUUCGCGCCAGCAGCCGC
RNAcentral lists this ribosomal RNA (447 nucleotides) under uncultured bacterium. Its description in RNAcentral is "SSU rRNA". It matches the Rfam family "Bacterial small subunit ribosomal RNA", at positions 26 to 518 of the family's 1533-position model. The record is from RNAcentral.